AUACCUGGCACCUGGUAGGUGCUACACAAAAGUUUGUUAAACAAUAUAAUGCAAAUGAAGGCACUGAGGUUAAAAGAGAUCAUUUCCUGGAGCUCUCCCAUACCAUUAACAGCAGAAGUUGGCUGGCCACUCAGAUUUCCUGAGAAAUCCUGGUUUCCAGGGGAAGCUGGAAUACUCUCAGGUAUUGACCCCAAGAACUUUCCUGAUCACAAAUCUCCAUCUUGGGAUGUGCGUUCUGGAGAACCCCACAUGCGACAUAUAUAUGCCCCUGGACGUAUACCUCAUGUGCUCCCAGAGGGUCUGCUUUUGCUGUCUGCACUCCCUGCUGUGCCAUCACCCACUGGGCAACCUG
Long non-coding RNA from Herpailurus yagouaroundi (jaguarundi), 352 nucleotides. RefSeq lists it as uncharacterized. The record is from RefSeq and is a predicted model, not a curated record. NCBI's taxonomy places the organism in Eukaryota, Metazoa, Chordata, Mammalia, Carnivora, Felidae. The transcript has 3 exons.